GUGUCAGCAGCCGCGGUAAGACGAACCGUGCGAACGUUAUUCGGAAUCACUGGGCUUAAAGCGCGUGUAGGCGGGCCGGCGCGUCGGUCGCUGAAAUCCCCCGGCUCAACCGGGGAAGGGGCACCGAUACGGCCGGCCUGGAGGGGGGUAGGGGGCGCUGGAACUCACGGUGGAGCGGUGAAAUGCGUUGAGAUCGUGAGGAACGCCCGCGGCGAAAGCGAGCGCCUGGACCCUUUCUGACGCUGAGACGCGAAAGCCAGGGGAGCGAACGGGAUUAGAUACCCCUGUAGUCC
RNAcentral lists this ribosomal RNA (293 nucleotides) under uncultured bacterium. RNAcentral describes it as "partial 16S ribosomal RNA". It matches the Rfam family "Bacterial small subunit ribosomal RNA", at positions 505 to 796 of the family's 1533-position model. The record is from RNAcentral.